This 368-nucleotide long non-coding RNA is filed under the name Panax ginseng (ginseng). RNAcentral's name for it is "long non-coding RNA (PGIN_LNC014137)". The record is from RNAcentral. Lineage: Eukaryota; Viridiplantae; Streptophyta; Magnoliopsida; Apiales; Araliaceae.
GAUUGUUAAUUAUUUACUGUUCAAGUCUGAUUUGGGUAGUGUGUAUACUAAUAUGGUAAUUGUUAAUGUUAGCGUGUAUACUAAUAUGCUUUUAUAUUGAAGGACUGACAAAUUCCCUGUAAAGAACGACAAAAUUAAACUUGCAUUUGUAUUUUGGUCUGUCCCAAUAUCAUCAAAAAUGUGGUUCUACAAAUUAAAGACUCCUGGAUAGUGGUUAGACGACGAUGUGAGUUCUUUUUUUUCUUCAAUAUAUGGUGUUCUAGUUAUGGUUACAUUAUUUAGUUGGUUUAGUAACUAAUGUUAACAGUGCUGGUUACAUUCAUUAUAGAUUUACAUUUUUCAGCAACUGUUAAUAUCUUAUGGAUUUU